UACAUAAGGGAUGGUGCAGUAUUCUAGUCAGCCCUCCGUUCCUGAAGGCGGGCCUAAAAAUCCGCCAAAGGGCAUAUCGAUGAAGUUCCUUGUGUUGGCUUGAGGCGCCCAGCCUUGGGUCGAUGCUGGGAGUUAAGGUAGUGGGGCGAUCCACAAAGGCAUGUGGGCGUUGACCCCGCUUCCGCGGAGGCCCAUAUCUGUGGUGGUUUCUUAGCCGGAAACCACGAUGGAAUGGGGUAUGAACCUGCUUCAUAUGGAGGAAUUCUGUAUGAGCAGCGUAGCCUGCCUUGAGUGGACUUGAGGGGAUUAUGGAAUUAAAGAUGCAUUAAAAUGGAUGGCCACCAUUUUAUGCAGCCUUUUCGCCAUAUGAAAUCAAGCCUGCAAAAGAGGCUAAGGAACGGUCAAAGGCUGUUGAGGAAAUCUCCUAGACUGUUUGCCAAGACACACAAUAGGAAUUAUAGUGCGGACUAAGUGGUAAUCCAGUCCGACUUUCGGAGACGGAGUCGAUCCGGGUUUAAAGGGGAACCGCCAGAAUGGUGACAUUCGGCACCUGGAUGGGAAAACCUACUGGACCUAAGCUGCAAUUUUUACCUAUUGGGUGACCAUUCCUUUUCUUA
This 617-nucleotide small RNA is filed under the name Thalassobacillus devorans. The record is from RNAcentral. Lineage: Bacteria; Bacillati; Bacillota; Bacilli; Caryophanales; Bacillaceae.